AAAAAAAAGGAGAGUUGCUUACUGCAAUCCUUUUCUUUCUACACAUGUGUUUUUCUUUUUUUUGAAAACUUUGCUUUGGUGGGCCCACGGCCUGCCAGAGAUUAAACUCAACCAAAUUUUUAUUUAAUUGUCAACUUGAUUAACUAAUAGUCAAAACUUUCAACAACGGAUCUCUUGGUUCUCGCAUCGAUGAAGAACGCAGCGAAAUGCGAUAAGUAAUAUGAAUUGCAGAUAUUCGUGAAUCAUCGAAUCUUUGAACGCACAUUGCGCCCUUUGGUAUUCCAAAGGGCAUGCCUGUUUGAGCGUCAUUUCUCCCUCAAACCUUCGGGUUUGGUGUUGAGCGAUACGCUGGGUUUGCUUGAAAGAAAGGCGGAGUAUAAACUAAUGGAUAGGUUUUUUUUUUCCACUCAUUGGUACAAACUCCAAACAUUCUUCCAAAUUCAACCUCAAAUCAGGUAGGACUACCCGCUGAACUUAAGCAUAUCAAAAGCCGGAGGAA
This 499-nucleotide ribosomal RNA is filed under the name Lodderomyces metapsilosis. RNAcentral describes it as "eukaryotic LSU rRNA". The stretch from base 155 to 308 matches the Rfam family "5.8S ribosomal RNA". The record is from RNAcentral. Lineage: Eukaryota; Fungi; Ascomycota; Pichiomycetes; Serinales; Debaryomycetaceae.